CUUGAACUUGCAAGGCACUAGCUUCUGGGAGAAGUGCAGCAACCUCCCUGGAGUCACUUCCUGGCAAACGGAAUGACUCAAGACCAAGAGGGCUGCCAGACCCAGAAGACUGACUGACUCCAUCACCCUCCUCAGGGCAUACUGGCGCUAUGGGAAGGCCAAGGGGUGGCCGUGGCCGUCUGUGGGUCGGGGGCUCCC
Molecule: long non-coding RNA, 198 nt
Organism: Lontra canadensis (Northern American river otter)
Lineage: Eukaryota; Metazoa; Chordata; Mammalia; Carnivora; Mustelidae
Exons: 3
Source: RefSeq, a predicted model, not a curated record